This 1271-nucleotide long non-coding RNA is filed under the name Dicentrarchus labrax (European seabass). RNAcentral describes it as "lncRNA (ENSDLAG00005016934.2)". Lineage: Eukaryota; Metazoa; Chordata; Actinopteri; Moronidae. The record is from RNAcentral.
GAUUGUUUUAACUUUAUAUGCUUUGUUCAACGUGAAUUGAAAGUGAUUGUGGAUGAUGUGGUUCACAGAGUACAAUGAGUCUGUGUAGCUGCUUUGGAUUCUUGCUGUUUGUCCUCCACAAUCUCCCAGGCACCACAGAGGAUUUCUUCCUAGAUUCGUCUCAUUCUGCUUUUCCCAUCACCUUCGGUUUGGGAGUCAUCUUCAUGUCUGUUAUUUUAGUCGUUUUUGCUGCAUAUAAAUGGAAACAAAACAAAAACAGAAACAAAGAGAGGGAGCACCUUAAGACAACUGAGAAGAAUUCAAUCAAGGCUUUCCAUACAGGACAAAGAGACAAUGAGACCAAGAAUUUGGAGGAUGAAAUUGAUGAAAUUCAGCCUCUCCGAGACCAGAAUCAGAGCAUGGAGAACGAGCUGCAGACCUUGAAGAGAGAGCUGGAGACCAACAAAAAACAGUCAGCUGACAAGGCCAGGGGGCAGACCUUUGAGGAGCUUAAGAACACCCAGUUUGAACUGGAGAAAAAGACUGCGGAGAUCAGGAACCUGCGGAGAGAGUUUGAUGACAGACUCAGGGAAGAGAAUCAGAGUAAAGAGAAAUGCCUGCAGACCCUGAAGGAGGAGCUGGAGAGCAAGAACAAGGAGCUUUGUGAGUCCAAGCUUCAGUUCGAAUCUCUCAUGAAGAAGAAUCAGGAGUUUGAGAGAAAGCUGACUGAACUUAGAGAGCUGCACAAGCAGGUGUUAAAGAAGAUGGUCGAGGAUGAGCAGCAGAGGACGGAGGAAGUACAAAAGGAAGUGGAGACCCUGAAGAUGGAGCUGGAGAAGAAGAAGGACGAGCAGAAAAGCCAAGCAGGGGAGUCAGAUGUUCAGAAAUCUCUGAUAGUAUGUGACAGCUCUGGAGAAGAACAUUUAGUGUCAGAGGAACAGAGUAAAGCAGCGGAGAUGGCUGAAGAAUUACCAAAUGUUGCAAAAGAAGUUGUGAACUGACAAUCUGUACAACAAGCAGAAUCCAGUGAUUUGUUUGAUUUGGAGCUAUUAUGUACAUAUUCAGUGCAAAAGAAGUAGUGUGAUGCAGUUUGGGAAGUUUAAAUUGUUUGAUGACUGACUGCACUAAAAGUACAUAAACAAUUCUGAAAAAAAAAUAAAAACAUACUUGUAUUUAUACCUUAAACAGCCUUUUAAUAUAUAUGACUAUAAUAUAAUAUUCAUCACUGCUAUUUUUAAUUGCCUUACUCUAUGUUGUUACUGUAACAGUUUAAUAAAAUAAUUACUUCUGUG